Long non-coding RNA from Myotis myotis, 231 nucleotides. RefSeq lists it as uncharacterized. NCBI's taxonomy places the organism in Eukaryota, Metazoa, Chordata, Mammalia, Chiroptera, Vespertilionidae. The transcript has 3 exons. The record is from RefSeq and is a predicted model, not a curated record.
GCCAAAAGCACCCGUAUGAAUUAGGAUUGAUCAGUAGAAUACAUGCAAAGAACUGUAGUCCUCAAGUAUAUACGAUCUACUUGGCAAGGAAAGCAGGUGGGAAUGAAUCCGCUGAAACCUUUGACUUGCUGAAAGCCUAAUCUGAGUUUCUAGACUAGACCACAAGCUCCAUCAGAACGGGUGGUCAUUCGACCAGGAGUUCAACUGGGAGAGUGAGAGUUUGACUGCUUG